This 374-nucleotide ribosomal RNA is filed under the name uncultured bacterium. Its description in RNAcentral is "bacterial SSU rRNA". It matches the Rfam family "Bacterial small subunit ribosomal RNA", at positions 524 to 898 of the family's 1533-position model. The record is from RNAcentral.
UACGUAGGUGGCAAGCGUUGUCCGGAAUUACUGGGUGUAAAGGGAGUGUAGGCGGGACUUCAAGUCCGUUGUGAAACCGAUCGGCUCAACCGAUCGUUGCGGCGGAAACUGGAGUUCUUGAGUGAGGUAGAGGCAGGCGGAAUUCCCAGUGUAGCGGUGAAAUGCGUAGAUAUUGGGAGGAACACCAGUGGCGAAGGCGGCCUGCUGGGCCUUAACUGACGCUGAGGCUCGAAAGUGUGGGGAGCAAACAGGAUUAGAUACCCUGGUAGUCCACACUGUAAACGAUGAUUACUAGGUGUGGGGGGACUGACCCCUUCCGUGCCGGAGUGAACACAAUAAGUAAUCCACCUGGGGAGUACGACCGCAAGGUUGAA